This 89-nucleotide transfer RNA is filed under the name Actinomadura macrotermitis. RNAcentral's name for it is "Actinomadura sp. RB68 tRNA-Ala". The record is from RNAcentral. Lineage: Bacteria; Bacillati; Actinomycetota; Actinomycetes; Streptosporangiales; Thermomonosporaceae.
CCGGGGUGCGGAUCGGCGACGCCCCGGCCCUGGCGUGGCGGGGGCUGUCACUGGACGUGGCGCGGCGGUUCUUCACCGUCGCCCAGGUC